This 785-nucleotide ribosomal RNA is filed under the name Arthrobacter sp. UPD 6. RNAcentral describes it as "bacterial SSU rRNA". It matches the Rfam family "Bacterial small subunit ribosomal RNA", at positions 67 to 861 of the family's 1533-position model. The record is from RNAcentral. Lineage: Bacteria; Bacillati; Actinomycetota; Actinomycetes; Micrococcales; Micrococcaceae.
CGAUGAUCCGGUGCUUGCAUCGGGGAUUAGUGGCGAACGGGUGAGUAACACGUGAGUAACCUGCCCUUAACUCUGGGAUAAGCCUGGGAAACUGGGUCUAAUACCGGAUAUGACUCCUCAUCGCAUGGUGGGGGGUGGAAAGCUUUUUUGUGGUUUUGGAUGGACUCGCGGCCUAUCAGCUUGUUGGUGAGGUAAUGGCUCACCAAGGCGACGACGGGUAGCCGGCCUGAGAGGGUGACCGGCCACACUGGGACUGAGACACGGCCCAGACUCCUACGGGAGGCAGCAGUGGGGAAUAUUGCACAAUGGGCGCAAGCCUGAUGCAGCGACGCCGCGUGAGGGAUGACGGCCUUCGGGUUGUAAACCUCUUUCAGUAGGGAAGAAGCGAAAGUGACGGUACCUGCAGAAGAAGCGCCGGCUAACUACGUGCCAGCAGCCGCGGUAAUACGUAGGGCGCAAGCGUUAUCCGGAAUUAUUGGGCGUAAAGAGCUCGUAGGCGGUUUGUCGCGUCUGCCGUGAAAGUCCGGGGCUCAACUCCGGAUCUGCGGUGGGUACGGGCAGACUAGAGUGAUGUAGGGGAGACUGGAAUUCCUGGUGUAGCGGUGAAAUGCGCAGAUAUCAGGAGGAACACCGAUGGCGAAGGCAGGUCUCUGGGCAUUAACUGACGCUGAGGAGCGAAAGCAUGGGGAGCGAACAGGAUUAGAUACCCUGGUAGUCCAUGCCGUAAACGUUGGGCACUAGGUGUGGGGGACAUUCCACGUUUUCCGCGCCGUAGCUAACGCAUU